Molecule: non-coding RNA, 87 nt
Organism: Suillus paluster
Lineage: Eukaryota; Fungi; Basidiomycota; Agaricomycetes; Boletales; Suillaceae
Source: the annotation of a RefSeq genome assembly
UGCCCCAUGGCUGAGUUGGUUACAGCGUCCGACUGUUAUUAUUCAUCUGACAUCGGAAGGUCGUGAGUUCGAGCCUCACUGGGGCAG